Molecule: ribosomal RNA, 500 nt
Filed under: uncultured bacterium
Lineage: Bacteria
Description: bacterial SSU rRNA
Rfam family: Bacterial small subunit ribosomal RNA
Source: RNAcentral
AGAGUUUGAUCCUGGCUCAGAUUGAACGCUGGCGGCAUGCUUUACACAUGCAAGUCGAACGGCAGCACGGGGGCAACCCUGGUGGCGAGUGGCGAACGGGUGAGUAAUGCAUCGGAACGUGUCCUGUAAUGGGGGAUAACCUGGCGAAAGCCAGGCUAAUACCGCAUACGUCCUGAGGGAGAAAGCGGGGGAUCGCAAGACCUCGUGUUAUAGGAGCGGCCGAUGUCGGAUUAGCUAGUUGGUGGGGUAAAGGCCUACCAAGGUGACGAUCCGUAGCGGGUCUGAGAGGACGGCCCGCCACACUGGGACUGAGACACGGCCCAGACUCCUACGGGAGGCAGCAGUGGGGAAUUUUGGACAAUGGGGGCAACCCUGAUCCAGCCAUGCCGCGUGAGUGAAGAAGGCCUUCGGGUUGUAAAGCUCUUUCGGCCGGGAAGAAAUCGCGCCAGCUAAUACCUGGGGUGGAUGACGGUACCGGAAGAAGAAGCACCGGCUAACUA